Molecule: ribosomal RNA, 890 nt
Filed under: uncultured bacterium
Lineage: Bacteria
Description: bacterial SSU rRNA
Rfam family: Bacterial small subunit ribosomal RNA
Source: RNAcentral
GUAAGGCCUUUCGGGGUACACGAGCGGCGAACGGGUGAGUAACACGUGGGUGAUCUGCCCUGCACUCUGGGAUAAGCUUGGGAAACUGGGUCUAAUACCGGAUAUGACCGCAUGCCGCAUGGUGUGUGGUGGAAAGAUUUAUCGGUGCAGGAUGGGCCCGCGGCCUAUCAGCUUGUUGGUGGGGUAAUGGCCUACCAAGGCGACGACGGGUAGCCGACCUGAGAGGGUGACCGGCCACACUGGGACUGAGACACGGCCCAGACUCCUGCGGGAGGCAGCAGUGGGGAAUAUUGCACAAUGGGCGGAAGCCUGAUGCAGCGACGCCGCGUGAGGGAUGAAGGCCUUCGGGUUGUAAACCUCUUUCAGCAGGGACGAAGCGUGAGUGACGGUACCUGCAGAAGAAGCACCGGCUAACUACGUGCCAGCAGCCGCGGUAAUACGUAGGGUGCGAGCGUUGUCCGGAAUUACUGGGCGUAAAGAGUUCGUAGGCGGUUUGUCGCGUCGUUUGUGAAAACCCGGGGCUCAACUUCGGGCUUGCAGGCGAUACGGGCAGACUUGAGUGUUUCAGGGGAGACUGGAAUUCCUGGUGUAGCGGUGAAAUGCGCAGAUAUCAGGAGGAACACCGGUGGCGAAGGCGGGUCUCUGGGAAACAACUGACGCUGAGGAACGAAAGCGUGGGUAGCAAACAGGAUUAGAUACCCUGGUAGUCCACGCCGUAAACGGUGGGCGCUAGGUGUGGGUUCCUUCCACGGGAUCUGUGCCGUAGCUAACGCAUUAAGCGCCCCGCCUGGGGAGUACGGCCGCAAGGCUAAAACUCAAAGGAAUUGACGGGGGCCCGCACAAGCGGCGGAGCAUGUGGAUUAAUUCGAUGCAACGCGAAGAACCUUACC